GGGCCCAUAGUUCAGUGGUAGAACAUGGCUUUCGCAUAGCUAAAACGCCGGUUCGACUCCGGUUGGGUCCA
This 71-nucleotide transfer RNA is filed under the name Spirochaetaceae bacterium. RNAcentral describes it as "tRNA-Ala". It matches the Rfam family "tRNA". Rfam says of the family: Transfer RNA (tRNA) molecules are approximately 80 nucleotides in length. Their secondary structure includes four short double-helical elements and three loops (D, anti-codon, and T loops). The record is from RNAcentral. RNAcentral also lists the same sequence under 1 other name. Lineage: Bacteria; Pseudomonadati; Spirochaetota; Spirochaetia; Spirochaetales; Spirochaetaceae.